AUACGGAGGGUGCAAGCGUUACUCGGAAUCACUGGGCGUAAAGCGCGCGCAGGCGGGCUGAUAAGUUGGAUGUGAAAGCCUACGGCUCAACCGUAGAACUGCAUCCAAAACUGUCAGUCUAGAGUCUGGGAGGGGAAGAUGGAAUUAGUUGUGUAGGGGUAAAAUCCGUAGAGAUAACUAGGAAUACCAAAAGCGAAGGCGAUCCUCUGGAACAGUACUGACGCUGAGGCGCGAAAGCGUGGGGAGCAAACAGGAUUAGAAACCCUAGUAGUCC
This 274-nucleotide ribosomal RNA is filed under the name uncultured bacterium. Its description in RNAcentral is "partial 16S ribosomal RNA". It matches the Rfam family "Bacterial small subunit ribosomal RNA", at positions 523 to 796 of the family's 1533-position model. The record is from RNAcentral.